AUUCCAGCUCCAAUAGCGUACAUUAAAGUUGUUGCAGUUAAAAAGCUCGUAGUUGGAUUUCUGGUGUCGCAGUGCUUCCGCGUGUUUAAUUACAUGUCGAGUUGUGUUUGCGUCGCCAUCUUUUAGCAGCACCUUCCUGGCAUUAGGUUGUUGGGUUGGUAAUGCUAAUCGUUUACUGUGAAGAAAUUAGAGUGUUCAAAGCAGGCUUAUGCCGUUGAAUACGUUAGCAUGGAAUAAUAGCAUUGGACCUCGAUUCUAAGCUGUUGGUUGCCAGAAGCGAGGUAAUGAUGAAGAGGGAUAGUUGGGGGCAUUCGUAUUUAACUGUCAGAGGUGAAAUUCUUGGAUUUGUUAAAGACGGACUACUGCGAGAGCAUUUGCCAAGGAUGUUUUCAUUA
This 395-nucleotide ribosomal RNA is filed under the name Leptocylindrus sp. RNAcentral describes it as "partial small subunit ribosomal RNA". It matches the Rfam family "Eukaryotic small subunit ribosomal RNA", at positions 582 to 975 of the family's 1831-position model. Lineage: Eukaryota; Bacillariophyta; Leptocylindrophyceae; Leptocylindrales; Leptocylindraceae. The record is from RNAcentral.